This 420-nucleotide ribosomal RNA is filed under the name uncultured microorganism. Its description in RNAcentral is "bacterial SSU rRNA". It matches the Rfam family "Bacterial small subunit ribosomal RNA", at positions 9 to 429 of the family's 1533-position model. The record is from RNAcentral.
GAGUUUGAUCUUGGCUCAGAUUGAACGCUGGCGGCAUGCCUUACACAUGCAAGUCGAACGGCAGCAUGAUCUAGCUUGCUAGAUUGAUGGCGAGUGGCGAACGGGUGAGUAAUACAUCGGAACGUGCCCUGUAGUGGGGAUAACUAGUCGAAAGAUUAGCUAAUACCGCAUACGACCUGAGGGUGAAAGUGGGGGACCGCAAGGCCUCAUGCUAUAGGAGCGGCCGAUGUCUGAUUAGCUAGUUGGUGGGGUAAAGGCCCACCAAGGCGACGAUCAGUAGCUGGUCUGAGAGGACGAUCAGCCACACUGGGACUGAGACACGGCCCAGACUCCUACGGGAGGCAGCAGUGGGGAAUUUUGGACAAUGGGCGAAAGCCUGAUCCAGCAAUGCCGCGUGUGUGAAGAAGGCCUCGGUGUAAG